CCCAAGAGAUCGGGAUAACACCUGGAAACAGAUGCUAAUACCGGAUAACAACAGAUGAUGCCUAUCAACUGUUUAAAAGAUGGUUCUGCUAUCACUCUUGGAUGGACCUGCGGUGCAUUAGCUAGUUGGUAGGGUAACGGCCUACCAAGGUGAUGAUGCAUAGCCGAGUUGAGAGACUGAUCGGCCACAUUGGGACUGAGACACGGCCCAAACUCCUACGGGAGGCAGCAGCA
RNAcentral lists this ribosomal RNA (233 nucleotides) under uncultured Lactobacillus sp. RNAcentral's name for it is "partial 16S ribosomal RNA". It matches the Rfam family "Bacterial small subunit ribosomal RNA", at positions 129 to 355 of the family's 1533-position model. Lineage: Bacteria; Bacillati; Bacillota; Bacilli; Lactobacillales; Lactobacillaceae. The record is from RNAcentral.